UGGGGAAUCUUCCGCAAUGGACGAAAGUCUGACGGAGCAACGCCGCGUGAACGAAGAAGGUCUUCGGAUUGUAAAGUUCUGUGAUUCGGGACGAAAGGGUUUGUGGUGAAUAAUCAUAGACAUUGACGGUACCGAAAAAGCAAGCCACGGCUAACUACGUGCCAGCAGCCGCGGUAAUACGUAGGUGGCAAGCGUUGUCCGGAAUUAUUGGGCGUAAAGCGCGCGCAGGCGGUUUCUUAAGUCCAUCUUAAAAGCGUGGGGCUCAACCCCAUGAGGGGAUGGAAACUGGGAAGCUGGAGUAUCGGAGAGGAAAGUGGAAUUCCUAGUGUAGCGGUGAAAUGCGUAGAGAUUAGGAAGAACACCGGUGGCGAAGGCGACUUUCUAGACGAAAACUGACGCUGAGGCGCGAAAGCGUGGGGAGCAAACAGGAUUAGAUACCCUGGUAGUCCACGCCGUAAACGAUGGAUACUAGGUGUAGGAGGUAUCGACCCCUCCUGUGCCGGAGUUAACGCAAUAAGUAUCCCGCCUGGGAAGUACGAUCGCGAAGAUUA
Molecule: ribosomal RNA, 551 nt
Filed under: uncultured bacterium
Lineage: Bacteria
Description: bacterial SSU rRNA
Rfam family: Bacterial small subunit ribosomal RNA
Source: RNAcentral